ACGUGGCCUGGUGGGUACGACGCCGGGCUGAUAACCUGGAGGUCGUAGGUUCAAGCCCGGGC
Molecule: transfer RNA, 62 nt
Filed under: Oxyrrhis marina
Lineage: Eukaryota; Dinophyceae; Oxyrrhinales; Oxyrrhinaceae
Source: RNAcentral